This 283-nucleotide signal recognition particle RNA is filed under the name Rhinopithecus bieti (black snub-nosed monkey). Its description in RNAcentral is "Metazoan signal recognition particle RNA (ENSRBIG00000009770.1)". It matches the Rfam family "Metazoan signal recognition particle RNA". From Rfam's summary of the family: The signal recognition particle (SRP) is a universally conserved ribonucleoprotein. It is involved in the co-translational targeting of proteins to membranes. Lineage: Eukaryota; Metazoa; Chordata; Mammalia; Primates; Cercopithecidae. The record is from RNAcentral.
GCUGCUGUUUUAGGUCCCAGCUACUCGGGAGGCUGAGGUGGGAGGAUCGCUUGAGCCCAGGAGUUCUGGGCUGUAGUGCGCUAUGCCGAUCGGGUGUCCGCACUAAGUUCGGCAUCAAUAUGGUGACCUCCCAGGAGUGGGGGACCACCAGGUUGCCUAAGGAGGGGUGAACCGGCCCAGGUCAGAAACGGAGCAGGUCAAAACUCCCCUGCUGAUCAGCAGUGGGAUCGCGCCUGUGAAUAGCCACUGCACUCCAGCCUCGGCAACAUAGCGAGACCCCAGU